GAUGAACGCUAGCUACAGGCUUAACACAUGCAAGUCGAGGGGCAGCAUGACCUAGCAAUAGGUUGAUGGCGACCGGCGCACGGGUGAGUAACACGUAUCCAACCUACCGGUUAUUCCGGGAUAGCCUUUCGAAAGAAAGAUUAAUACCGGAUAGUAUAACGAGAAGGCAUCUUCUUGUUAUUAAAGAAUUUCGAUAACCGAUGGGGAUGCGUUCCAUUAGUUUGUUGGCGGGGUAACGGCCCACCAAGACAUCGAUGGAUAGGGGUUCUGAGAGGAAGGUCCCCCACAUUGGAACUGAGACACGGUCCAAACUCCUACGGGAGGCAGCAGUGAGGAAUAUUGGUCAAUGGACGAGAGUCUGAACCAGCCAAGUAGCGUGAAGGAUGACUGCCCUAUGGGUUGUAAACUUCUUUUAUAUGGGAAUAAAGUGAGCCACGUGUGGCUUUUUGUAUGUACCAUACGAAUAAGGAUCGGCUAA
RNAcentral lists this ribosomal RNA (478 nucleotides) under uncultured bacterium. Its description in RNAcentral is "bacterial SSU rRNA". It matches the Rfam family "Bacterial small subunit ribosomal RNA", at positions 28 to 500 of the family's 1533-position model. The record is from RNAcentral.